UACAGAGGGUGCGAGCGUUGUCCGGAAUCACUGGGCGUAAAGGGCGCGUAGGUGGCGCGACAAGUCAGUGGUGAAAGCUCGACGCUCAACGUCGAGUCGGCCACUGAGACUGUUGGGCUGGAGCACUGUAGAGGCUAAUGGAAUUCCGGGUGUAGCGGUGGAAUGCGUAGAGAUCCGGAAGAACACCGGUGGCGAAGGCGGGUCUCUGGGCCGAUACUGACGCUGAGGAGCGAAAGCGUGGGGAGCGAACAGG
RNAcentral lists this ribosomal RNA (253 nucleotides) under uncultured bacterium. Its description in RNAcentral is "partial 16S ribosomal RNA". It matches the Rfam family "Bacterial small subunit ribosomal RNA", at positions 524 to 776 of the family's 1533-position model. The record is from RNAcentral.